AUUGAACGCUGGCGGCAGGCCUAACACAUGCAAGUCGAGCGGUAGAGAGAAGCUUGCUUCUCUUGAGAGCGGCGGACGGGUGAGUAAUGCCUAGGAAUCUGCCUGGCAGUGGGGGAUAACGUUCGGAAACGGACGCUAAUACAGCAUACGUCCUACGGGAGAAAGCAGGGGACCUUCGGGCCUUGCGCUAUCAGAUGAGCCUAGGUCGGAUUAGCCAGUUGGUGGGGUAAUGGCUCACCAAGGCGACGAUCCGUAACUGGUCUGAGAGGAUGAUCAGUCACACUGGAACUGAGACACGGUCCAGACUCCUACGGGAGGCAGCAGUGGGGAAUAUUGGACAAUGGGCGAAAGCCUGAUCCAGCCAUGCCGCGUGUGUGAAGAAGGUCUUCGGAUUGUAAAGCACUUUAAGUUGGGAGGAAGGGCAGUGAAUUAAUACUUUGCUGUUUUGACGUUACCGACAGAAUAAGCACCGGCUAACUCUGUGCCAGCAGCCGCCGUAA
Molecule: ribosomal RNA, 500 nt
Filed under: uncultured bacterium
Lineage: Bacteria
Description: partial 16S ribosomal RNA
Rfam family: Bacterial small subunit ribosomal RNA
Source: RNAcentral